UCGCAUUGUAAUUUGUAGAGGAUGAUUUGGGGAAGCCGCCUGUCUAAGUUCCUUGGAACAGGACGUCAUAGAGGGUGAGAAUCCCGUAUGUGACAGGAAAUGGCACCCUAUGUAAAUCUCCUUCGACGAGUCGAGUUGUUUGGGAAUGCAGCUCUAAAUGGGAGGUAAAUUUCUUCUAAAGCUAAAUAUUGGCGAGAGACCGAUAGCGCACAAGUAGAGUGAUCGAAAGAUGAAAAGCACUUUGGAAAGAGAGUUAAAAAGCACGUGAAAUUGUUGAAAGGGAAGCGCUUGCAAUCAGACUUGUUUAAACUGUUCGGCCGGUCUUCUGACCGGUUUACUCAGUUUGGACAGGCCAGCAUCAGUUUCGGCGGCCGGAUAAAGGCUCUGGGAAUGUGGCCUCCACUUCGGUGGAGGUGUUAUAGCCCAGGGUGUAAUACGGCCAGCCGGGACUGAG
This 454-nucleotide ribosomal RNA is filed under the name Aureobasidium pullulans. RNAcentral describes it as "LSU rRNA". It matches the Rfam family "Eukaryotic large subunit ribosomal RNA", at positions 138 to 597 of the family's 3401-position model. The record is from RNAcentral. Lineage: Eukaryota; Fungi; Ascomycota; Dothideomycetes; Dothideales; Saccotheciaceae.